UGAGCUUGUCAGAUACGGUUUUAUUAGCCAGAUUGACAAAGAUGAAAUAACCAGUUUAAUAGAAGAUCACCUAACACGGGUGCGAAAUGGUCUUUCUGUAUCAAUGGCUUCAGGCCGAAAUGGUGUGGGAGGCAGUGUUACAGGUCAAGACACUCUGCGUGUAAUGCAUCCCCCUACGAUCACAACAGCAACUAGAUAACACCCAUGAUUCUCCCACACUCAGGCACAGCCCGUGUACCACACACUGUGAACUUAAUGAAAAGAUUUUGUUUAUUAAAGUCUUAAUUCUGCAAUAGAAUUGUUAGAUAUUUUUUUAUUAUUAUCAGUUAUUAAUGAUGAUAAUGGUAAUAAUGAUAUUCAUUACUAUUAUUAUUAUCGUUAUUGUUAUUUUUGUUAUCAUUUCUUUUCCUUUUUAUUAGGUGCAUUUAGGGGUAGUGAAAAAAGAGACCAAACACAACUUUAUUGUUUUUUGUGCAGUACACUAAGUUGAAAAUGUGAAUAUUUAUAUAUAUAUAUAUCUGAGUUUGUUGUUUGGUCGUGAAAGCAUUUGGGAGAUGUCAGGUGCACACGGGAGUUUGUCAUGUUAUAUGGAAUAUGUCGUAGAGAAUGAUACUUUGACAUGUUAACAUGAGCUCCCAGGUAUUGUGAUAAGAGAAGACUAUGAGGGCUCAUUUGUGCUUAAUGGGUCGAAGGUUCUUCCUUCCUCGCUCUCCCCUCGUCUUAUUCAGUGCCCGAGCUGAUAUCCAGCGAGGUAACAGAGAGGCUCGUAGUGUAGUCUGUCUGUCCUAGGCAAGGAUGGCUGGAUGAGGAGACGGCUGUAUUGUGUACUCUUUAGAUACUUUUUUUAGGGGGGAGUUGAUUGUAAUGACACCAUGUUUAAGAUUUUUUUUUUUUCUUCCUAUAUUGUUGUUCUUUGAGAAUAUUGUACGAGAACCAGCAGUGAUUGAUUAAUUUUGAGUAUAUGGAUCCCUAAGAAGUUUAUUUGUUUUGCUCCUGACUUAUGAAGCAUUCAUUGUGAUUAGUAUUGUCCACCGUAUUUUUUUAUAUUGGAAAGGUAUUUUAUGGUGAAUCGUAUAUUUUUCAUGAAAAGGACAUAUCAAUGAAGCAAAAGGAUCAAUGGAAAGCUUGGUAAAUAAUGCUGAUCUGUCUCGUCCUUACAUGUAGUACAUUUAUACUUUUGAAGUAUGUGCGGCAGUAUUGUAGUGUCUCAUUCAAAUGUGCCUGGGGAAAACUAUUGCAAGGAUCUGAAAAUCCUUUCUUGUGUUGUUUUUGUUUCUGUUUUAUUUUACAGUUAUCUUUAUUAUAUUAUUAUUAUUAUUAUUAAUAUUUUUUUAUAAGAAUGUAAUGAAUAGGUGUUUCAUUUUUACCCAGAUACAACCUACAUGCUCUUUGUAAUUUGCAGUUUUUUGGGAACCAAUGGAGGUAGGGCUCCUCUUUAGGCUCUUGAGCAACAUCAUCGUGUUUGGCAAAUCAUCCAAGGCAUUAAUGCUUCAUUGCUUUGACUUUCAGUUUGUAAGCUGCAUUGCAUAGAUAUUCUGUCCCAAUUUCAGGACACUUGGAAGACUGGUGAGAGAAAAAAGAUUAAUUGAGUAAUACGGUGUUUGGAGAAAGGCAUUGAUUAAAGUGUGUUUUAGAUAGUAGUGUCUUUAAAAUCAUAUUUGUUUUAAAUUACUUAAAGUCUGGCAUCUUGUAAACUUUCACUGAUAAUACAAUACCAAGUUUUUGCCUUACAGAAUUGAAAUUGUGCUUUGGAGUAUUUGUGAAUAAGACAUUUCAUUGGGUAAUUUCAUGUGCUUAUGGUAAGACCAGCUAUAUAAUAGUCUUAUACACAAAGAAUAGUUCUUUUUUUCUUUACACUUGUUCCCUGCAGAUUAUGCAUGGUACAUAGUUUUGUACACUUAUUACUAUGCAUGGUACAUCAGUAUUAUCAUGUUUAGCUGCAGAGCUUAUCGGUCAGUUGCUUCUGAUCUAACACGACAACUUGUUAUCCUUUGUGUUAAUGUGACAUACCUUACCAUACUCUGUUUUAUAGACUAUAUCUGUUUGAGGGGGAUCCUAAGCCUGUUCAGUUACAGUUCUUAUAGAAUGAAAUGUAUAGAAUGACAUGGAGUAAUUUCUUGGUCACUUGAAUAUUAGUUGAUAUUAACAACAUGUGGUUUACUUCUGUUACUGUGUGUGCACCUUCUGUGUCCAUACUUUUUUGUAAUGUUAAGGUUAUCUUGAUUUGUAAAUAUUGGCAUGAUAAGUUCUAGGUUGGAGCUUGUUAAGACACUUUUCUACUAGAAGGUUUAGGUGUUAUGUCCAAAACUGAACACCUGCUUGUAAGUCUUUGCUUAUGGGCUAGUGAUUGUCUAGUUGAGCAAGAAAUAAUGUUUUGUAUAAUAUCAAAAAUUUGGUUAUUGGUUGAUAACAUUGAGUGAUACCUGUUUCAGUUGCUCUUCAUUUUUUUUAUAAAGUUAAGUGAAGACUGCAUCAUUUGAAACAGACUUGAUCUUGUGCUAUGUAGCACCUAUUAUAAGUAUACCAUCAUUGUCAAAAGGAAUCUUUGAAAAGUGUCUUUUCUUGUAGGGUUUCUAAAAAGGAAUAGAAGGGAAGGACUUGUGAUUGUCAUUUAUCAUGUGAAUUUCUUAUGGAUUUUUUUUCUUGGUCUUAAUUUGACGCUGCUUAUCACAUGAUCUGGUAAGCUGGCUACAAUUAAGGACACUGGGAAAAUAAAUUCAUAUGUGAAGUAACAUAUGAUGCAAAAGCAUGCACCAGGAGAAUAAGCAAAGGUAUUCAGCCACCUACCAAGGCUGUCAGUACCUAAUCUAGUCUAGUGGCACACACCCCAGAAGAAACCCAAAAGGAUGAUAGCUGCGGUGCUACAAAUGGCCUGUUUGUUUCAUGUUGCAUGAAAGGAAAAACACCAGAAGUUGUACUUUUGUAGUGUUUUACAAGAGCCACCAGUUCUUAGUUGGUUGUCUGUGACAGCGGUAAUUUGUAAAUGUUCCAAGUAAUUUGUUCAUAGUAUGCAAAACAGAGAGAGGUUGUUAAAUUGGAAUACAGGGAAUGAGAUGUUGGUUCUGAAAGAUACUUGGAAACCACAGAGGAAGGUUUGCUGAAGUGAUCCUAUGUAUCCUGAAGUUCACCUCGGACAGUUACUUGGUCAUUAUUUGUAUUGGUGAAUGGCUGACGGCAUGUAUGGUUGUGUGUAAGGUUUGUGUGGUUGUAUAUAUACACUAUAUAUACAUAAUGUAUAUAUAUUGUAUAUGUAUUGGGAGGGGGGUUAUCUUUUGAUUACUUGCUCAAAUGAUGGAUACAUGUCACUACACUAUAACCUCAAUGUUUCAUAUAUAGUUUUUACUCUGUUGUGCCUUUUAAUGAGGAACACUUUUUAUUUUUAAAUGAUUAUUGGUAUCCAAAAGAUUUUAUUUUGACUGCUAAAAUGUCAUUAUGAGUGUCUGUAGGUAACUUUUCAACCAAAGAUUUGUGUCUAAAGUUGUUACUCAAUAUAAAUCACCCACAUGAGUUUACAGUAGUGAACUAUUUUGGGUGUUAUUUGAUACUCCUUUUUUAUUAAAGAAAUCUUUAGGGGGUGAAUGAUAAUUAAAUGUAGAGAGAUAUUGCACAACAUUUCAUGGAUAGAAAUUUUUUGAGAGUUCUAGGUGUACCUUUUGCUGAUGCACCUUGGAGAGCUUGUUAUAAUCAGUUAGCUAUAUGGCAUUGUAACAUUCUGUAAAAAAAAAAAUAUGAUAUAUACCUUGCUUGGUUAACUCAAGGGUACUAUAAUGAGGUUGGUGUAAAGCAUUUGUUUCCUCUUCUCUCUCCAACAAUUACUACAUUGCAGUUCAGUUAGAGAAUGUGCAGUCUUCUUGUACAGUUACCUAAUGGUUUAGCACAGGAUGUAUUGGAAUCAUCAAGGUGUUUGUAACCAGAAAAGAGGUUUUGUAUCUAUAUAAUCUGACAAUGAACACUUGUGUAUUGGGUCAGAACUUGAUGAUCAUUGUGUAACACUCCAUUAGGAAUGGUAUGUAAUGAUUUAUUAUUCUGCAAAAUUAUUUUGUUCAUUGACAUCCAAUAACAAAUGAAUAUUUUUCAGCACA
Penaeus vannamei (Pacific white shrimp) is the source of this 4082-nucleotide non-coding RNA. The record is from RefSeq and is a predicted model, not a curated record. NCBI's taxonomy places the organism in Eukaryota, Metazoa, Arthropoda, Malacostraca, Decapoda, Penaeidae.